GCAGCUGUGCCCUACUGGUUAGUGCCUUGGACUUGUAACCGGAGGGUUGUCAGUUCGAACCCGACCAGUAGGA
Molecule: transfer RNA, 73 nt
Filed under: Alosa alosa (allis shad)
Lineage: Eukaryota; Metazoa; Chordata; Actinopteri; Clupeiformes; Clupeidae
Description: tRNA-OTHER
Source: RNAcentral